GACGAACGCUGGCGGCGUGCUUAACACAUACAAGUCGAACGGAAAGGCCCCUUCGGGGGUACUCGAGUGGCGAACAGGUGAGUAACACGUGAGUAACCUGCCCUUGACUUCGGGAUAACUUCAGGAAACUGGGGCUAAUACCGGAUAGGAAUCCUUGCUGCAUGGUGGGGGUUGGAAAGCUUCGGCGGUUUUGGAUGGACUCGCGGCUUAUCAGCUUGUUGGUGGGGUAGUGGCUUACCAAGGCUUUGACGGGUAGCCGGCCUGAGAGGGCGACCGGCCACAUUGGGACUGAGAUACGGCCCAGACUCCUACGGGAGGCAGCAGUGGGGAAUAUUGCACAAUGGGCGGAAGCCGGAUGCAGCAACGCCGCGUGCGGGAUGACGGCCUUCGGGUUGUAAACCGCUUUCAGCAGGGGCGAAGCUUGUGGUGACGGUACCUGCAGAAGAAGCACCGGCUAACUACGUG
This 465-nucleotide ribosomal RNA is filed under the name uncultured bacterium. RNAcentral's name for it is "partial 16S ribosomal RNA". It matches the Rfam family "Bacterial small subunit ribosomal RNA", at positions 28 to 507 of the family's 1533-position model. The record is from RNAcentral.